GCCGCAGGCUCCACUCCUGGUGGUGUCCUUCCGUCAAUUCCUUUAAGUUUCAGCCUUGCGACCAAACUCCCCCCGGAACUCAAAAACUUUGAUUUCUCAUAAGGUGCCAGCGGAGUCCUAAAAGCAACAUCAAAAACAUUGAUUUCUCAUAAGGUGCCAGCGGAGUCCUAAAAGCAACAUCUGCUGAUCCCGGGUCGGCAUCGUUUAUGGUUGAGACUAGGACAGUAUCUGAUCGUCUUCGAGCCCCCAACUUUCGUUCUUGAUUAAUGAAAACAUCCUUGGCAAAUGCUUUCGCAGUUGUUCGUCUUUCAUAAACCCAAGAAUUUCACCUCUGACUAUGAAAUACGAAUGCCCCU
This 356-nucleotide long non-coding RNA is filed under the name Brassica napus (rape). RNAcentral's name for it is "long non-coding RNA (BNAP_LNC023915)". Lineage: Eukaryota; Viridiplantae; Streptophyta; Magnoliopsida; Brassicales; Brassicaceae. The record is from RNAcentral.